Molecule: non-coding RNA, 92 nt
Submitted as: unclassified sequences
Source: Rfam
CGAUCGGGAGGCCUCUGGUGGGACAGGGGCCGGGAAUGGAUCGCACCCGCCGUCUCGUAUGGGUACGCCGCUGUAGCCCGACAGCAGGCGUU